RNAcentral lists this ribosomal RNA (253 nucleotides) under uncultured bacterium. RNAcentral describes it as "partial 16S ribosomal RNA". It matches the Rfam family "Bacterial small subunit ribosomal RNA", at positions 524 to 776 of the family's 1533-position model. The record is from RNAcentral.
UACGUAAGGUGCGAGCGUUGUCCGGAAUUAUUGGGCGUAAAGAGCUCGUAGGCGGUUUGUCGCGUCUGCUGUGAAAACCGGAGGCUCAACCUCCGGCCUGCAGUGGGUACGGGCAAACUAGAGUGCGGUAGGGGAGAUUGGAAUUCCUGGUGUAGCGGUGGAAUGCGCAGAUAUCAGGAGGAACACCGAUGGCGAAGGCAGAUCUCUGGGCCGUAACUGACGCUGAGGAGCGAAAGCGUGGGGAGCGAACAGG